Molecule: long non-coding RNA, 731 nt
Organism: Hordeum vulgare subsp. vulgare (domesticated barley)
Lineage: Eukaryota; Viridiplantae; Streptophyta; Magnoliopsida; Poales; Poaceae
Exons: 2
Source: RefSeq, a predicted model, not a curated record
CUCUCCACUCGCCCCCGUUCCGCUGUGGCCAGCUCGACGUCGAGCCGCAACUCGCCGUCACCCUCGCCCCCGUCACCUCGCUCGUCCGCGGCCUCCUCCCCAAUGGCCCCGGCGCCUCACUCUCUCUUGCCCUCGCAAACACUAGCCCCCACACGAGCUCCUCUCCUCGCGUGCACCUCCUUCCCCAUGUCCGGCCCAGCGGAACCAUGGUCGCGCCACGAUGAGCUCACGGCCACCACCGGCCUCGCUCCUCUCCAUCGAGCCCAGAAGCUCCGCGGCAUCCUCCUCGACCCCUUGGUGCACUGGAUCGAUCCGGAGCAGUGCGCUAGCAACAUCAUUGACUCGAUCUUCUUCCUCGGCCGUCGUCGCCAUUGUUGAGCUCCUACUCGCCUCCGACACCCUCGACCCUCAUUGAUCACCUCGCUGACACCGCUACAACAGAGCCCAGGAGAUGGUGUAUCCCGCUGACGACGACUGCUACCCCGACGGUGCCUUCUGCUACAUGGAGGUCGCUGACGACGAGGAGUAUUUAGGAGGUUCCAAGGGAGGAGGCCUCACCUUGUUCGAUCAAUGUAUCUUUUCUGCUAGCCUUCUCUAAGGCAUCAACUUGUUUCUAUGUUUGUACUCAGAUAUUUUUUGCUUCCGCUGACUCGUGUGUUUCUCGAGCUUCUGUAUUCGAGCCCUUGAGGCACCUCACUUGUAAUAUGAGCUUGUAUGCUUUUAUUUGUGUC